CAAGAGUAUAACUUCUUCCCUCUUUAUGGCAAUCCUAGGGUCCUUUCUCUCUUCUCUUUUUUGGUUUUUUCUUCCUGUUUUUCGUUUUUUUGGAAGGUAAAAUGGGGAAAAAAUACACUUAAAUUUCUUGAAAGAGUCUUGGUUCUGGUCAUGAUCUCUUCCUAAAUUAAAUCUGUUUUACUUUUAAUUUUUGGUUAUUUUCCAACCUUUGCUAUUCGAUUUGAAAACUUUAAGUUAUGCCCUAAUUUUUGAAAUUUUCAUUAAUCCUUUUUCCUGCGUUUGAAGUUUUUCUGAUUCUUUAUGUCUUUUAAAGCUUACUAGAUUAGAGUUUCUUUAUCUUGUUUAAUCCUUUGAACUGAUUCGUGUUGUUGUUAGCUUUCUUCGUGUUUUUCCCCUUUAUAGGUCAUGAGCUGAUAGAGAUGCAUAGAUAGAUUUAUCGGAGACAUUAUUAUGAGAUUUGAUUAUCCAACUGUGACGGGAUGAAAUUUGGACUACUUCAAAUAAAGGAUCUGAUAAACAAAAGAAAUGUGAGGGAAGUCUUGGAUUAGAUUGGUACUUUCGUCACUGUGGACACACCGGCAGGAAACUUUUAUGAGGCCAAGCUAAUGGUACCUCUGAACUCUCCUUUGACUAAAAAAGUGAUCUUUAAUACUAGUAGGAGAACAUACUAUAUGACAGCUUUUUAUCCUAAGCUUCAUUUUCAUGCAUGCAAGCAAUGUUUUGUACUUUACCAUGAUGAAGCUUUGUGCAAGGAGUUCCAGAUGAGAAUUUAUGUUAGAGCAUUACCUGCUCCCUCUCCUCGAGCCACUCAUGUUGUUGUUACAAAAGUGGUGACAAAUAAGGAAAAAGGUGAGAGUUCGCAUUCCUCUGGACCAUCAAAAUCUUUUGAUGUUGCUGCUUCACCUAAUGAGCAUUCUAAGCCUUCUGCAUUCUCGGUCAGUCUCCAACCUUCUAGAGCUCUCACUAAUAGAGGUUCUUCACUUUCACUUCCAGUUAGCUCCUCUGUUUUUCCUGUUGGGCUAGUGCAUGAUAGAAAAGGCAAAAGGUCUAGGACUGCUUUUGAGUCUGUUUAUUUAAGUUUCUCGACUUCUUCAUCGAUGAUGCCUACUCCUCACUGACCUCCUUUGGCAUCAAUGCCUCCUUUUACUACUCAUGUUGAUGAUUCAUUCAACGCUGGUAGUUUAGGAGUGUUCUCUAGCUCAGGAUCUGCUGAGGAAAAUUUGAUAUGGUCUGUUACCUGUACUUCAUUCUCUUAGACUAUUUUUACUUCUUCGGGUCUCUCUUUUAGCUCGGCUUCUGAAAUGAACUACACUUCAGAAUUUUUAUGAAUGCUAACUCGGAAAGUGAUUUUGUGAGUAACUCUGAUCAGAACAGUGAAUUUAAGGAUGCAAUAAUUCUUGAACCUAUGUCGUUAGCUUCACAUCCUCCUGAACCCGUAGUCACUGAUGAAGAAUUUGACAAGGAAAUCAAUCUCAUAAUGAUGGACUUUGGCUCUAUGGAUGCAGAACCCUCCUCAGCUCAUGACCUAGUAAGUUAUUUUUUCUUGAACUCGCUUAUUUCAAACUACUUAUUUUGUUUUUCCAUUGUUCUGUAUGUUGUGAUCUUUUUACUUCUAGUUUCAUAGCUUGUUUGAGUUGCCUUUUUCUGAGUUAUCAUGAAGUUCUUGUGCUGGAAUAUAAAUGGUUGUUGUUCUGAUCGAAAUUGGCUUCAUAUUUUAAACCUUUUUAGAAAAUUUAAAUUUGACGCUAUAUGUUUGAUGGAAACCAUGGUAGAUAACGAAUCAGUAAAUAGAUAUUGUCAUCAUUUGCCCUUUGAUUCAUGGUUUGUUGUGCCUUCUGAUGUAGGACAUCUAGACCAAGUCACCCCCGUUUGAACAUGAUAGUCAAACCUUAUUCUAUUUCUAGUAUUUUUCCCUAAAUUUUAUGAUUUCCCUAUUCUAAAACUAUUCUAUAACUUAAUAGUUUCCUAGUUUAGUAUGAUUUCCUUUUUCUAGUUUUACUACGUUUAGAAAAUAGUGAAGCCUAUAUAAGAAGAGGCCUAGUCUUGUAGAAUUUCUACACAUUCAACAUUAUUAUCUUAUUUGAUUUAUCAAAGAUAUUUUAUUUAGUUAUUGUUCUCUAGUUUUCUUAUAGCUUUUGUGAAUCUAUUGAUUUCACACUAGUUUUCACUAUCUUUUGGAUCCUUGAUCCAAGUUAUUACGCUUCCGCUACGUUAAGUGGUAUCAGAGCCUCGAUUGAGAGCCUCCACUAACAUGGGUGAUAAGAAGAUUGAAGAGUUAAAGACUAGUUUGAAGAAAGACCUAGAAGUUGAUGUGCAAGCAAUGGGAAUCAAACUAAAAACGGAGUUAACCAUUGAGUUAACCACAGUGAUGGAUGAACGUUUUGAAUAUUUUAAAGAGUGGUUUUCUACCAAGUUCAUGGGACACGAAGGAAAGAAGGUAAACGAAGGAAAGAAGGUAAUUGGAGAAUUACCUAAAACCCAAGCUGAAAUUGUCCAUCUUCAUACUUCUACCCCUCCCAACUCCACCACUCAUCUUCAAACCCUUCAAGUCACUUCCCAACCUUCUCACAGCCAUGAUACUUCCAAAGAUAAGUCAUAUUACCAUCCAUUAUUCACUACCCCCAACUUACUCUUCCUGUCCACCUUACACAACCCCACAAUUUGAAUUUUUUGAAGAUUUCAGCUCUUACUAUACUCCCCAUAACUUAAAACAAAUCUUCUACAAAGCAGCAAGCAGUUGAUGUUGAAGACUAUGAGCCAUAUUAUUAUCCUCCACCACCGCGCCAUCAGAGGAACAUGGGAAAUCCACAAACCUAUCGCCCCAAGGCUGAUAUAACUCUGUUUGAUGAACUUCUACACAUUGAAGAUUUCUUAGAUUGGUUGUGUACAGUUGAUCAUUUCCUUGCUUGUAUGCGCAUACCUGAAGAUCAACAAGUAGAACUUGUUGCUUUCAAGCUUACAUGGCCAGCCUCCUCAUGGUGGGAUCAUCUUCAACUAGAAAGAUCCAACUAAGGAAUGCGACAAGUUCAAUCCUUCCCAGCCAUGAAGCAACUAUUGAAGAAGAGGUUUCUGCCUCUGAAUUACAUGCAGACCUUAUUCAUCACUUUACAAAACUGUCGUCAAGGAAACUGUUCAGUACAAGAAUAUGUGACUUAAUUUUCGCGUUUAUUGUCUCGGAAUCAGCUGAAUGAGACGGUUGAUCAAACAAUUGGGCGUUUCAUCAACGGACUUGAUUGGAAUAUACAAGAAAGGUUAGCUACUCAACAAUAUACUUCUCUUCAUGUUAUCAUUAAUAAUGCUCUAAAAAUAGAAUCGUUCAUGCUUUCUCCACAACCAUACCCAAAAAACCUCAUCCUUUAGCCCUAGAAAACCUCUAUUUCAAAGUUUUCCCAAUAGGCAACAACCAUCUCCAUACCAAUCUCGUAUUUCUCCUACUACCACUACCACUACCACUACCACUACCACCUAACCAUCUUCUUCCCAAACCCCACCUGCCACGAAGGCUCCGCCACCUCCACCCCAACCUAAUAAUGCCCAACCCAUUAGGUCAAGACCUCCAAACCCUUAUGCCUACCCAACUGAAAACAAGUGUUAUAAGUGUAAGCUACCAGGGCACACAUCAAAUCAAUAUAGAAGUGGGCGUACAUAGAUGACCGAAGAAGAAUCUGUUGUGUAUGAGGAAGAAAAUGAAGAUGUUCAUAGAAAUAUCGAAGAUAUACAAGCAUAUGCGGAGGAAGGAGAUGAAGUGAUUAUGUCUCUUAUGUUAUUCGAAAUCUAUUGUCCAUUCCUCGUGUUGAUUAUCCAACCCGUAAUCGUCUAUUCCGCACUAAGUGUCGUGUGCAAGACAAGAUAUGUGAUAUGAUCAUUGACAGUGGAAGUUGUCAAAAUAUUGUUUCCUCCAGUUUGGUGGAAAAGCUGCAAUUAUCUACUCAUCCACAUCCAAAACCAUACUCCAUUGGUUGGAUUGAUGAUAACAACAAGAAGAAUGUAGAUUCUCAAUGUUUCGUGUCAUUUAAAAUUGGAGAAUAUAACUAGACAGUGGUUUGUGAUGUUGUGGAUUGUAGUUGCAGGAAAUCCUACACUACACCCCUCAUAUGAUUUCAUUAACACUCAACUCAUUUUAGAUUAACAAUAUUAAUUUUAUUGAUGAA
Long non-coding RNA from Papaver somniferum (opium poppy), 4151 nucleotides. RefSeq lists it as uncharacterized. The record is from RefSeq and is a predicted model, not a curated record. Lineage: Eukaryota; Viridiplantae; Streptophyta; Magnoliopsida; Ranunculales; Papaveraceae. The transcript is spliced from 2 exons.